Molecule: long non-coding RNA, 943 nt
Organism: Anguilla anguilla (European eel)
Lineage: Eukaryota; Metazoa; Chordata; Actinopteri; Anguilliformes; Anguillidae
Exons: 3
Source: RefSeq, a predicted model, not a curated record
GACAGUUUCCUUUAGUUCAUGGUUCUUGUAGUUCUAUUUUAGCUUUGCCUUCAGAUUAAAUUUAAUGGGAUUCAGUAAAUUCAUGGAAAUAGACAGAUAAUACUUAAAUAUUUAUGUUUACUGCACAAACAAAAAACCUCAUGCCAUAUGGUCCUCAUGAUACAAACCAAUAGCAUUACAGCAAGUGUAGGUUUGUAGGUUCAAUAUGUUGUAAUAUGCAUCACUUUUCAAAACUAUGAUUUUAUCUGUUAUAAAAUGAGCAGAGCCAAUUAAGAAUUCACUGGGUGGUUGGGGGUGGCUGUUGAUUUUAAAAUACAUGUUGUCCAGUUAUACAGGGAGAUUAGGAGAAAACUAAACAAACACAUCCACUGUCAAAUUAAAUAAUGAAGAGAGAGCACCCCCUUUUCAUUUCUGUUUAACUGAAAUCUCUUUUCGGUGUUUGUUUGGUGUGAACUCCCCUUUGGGCACGUCGCUGGACGAGCAUUAGGCCGAGAGAUCGGAGGCAGGUGUUUCUCCAGUGACACGUUUCCCCAGCUUCAGCUCCUUGGGGAGGGCUCUACCUGCUGGAGCCAGACAUCCUGUUACCAUGGCUACUGAAGAACCACAGAACAAAACACAGGGAGACCCCACGAUCGAAGCAGGCGACAUUCAUUACGCUUCUCUGGGCCGUCAGAACUGGAGAGAGAGGCCGCACACUCAGGGCGAGAGACACCAUGUGAUCUACUCCACUGUGGCUGGAGGGCCAGUUUAGGCCAUGGUCAGAGGAGGACGGCACUACGUCCUCACAAAACGAUAACAACGUCCUCACAAAACGAUAACAAUGUCCUCACAAAACAAUAACAAUGUCUUCACAAAACAAUAACAACUUCCUUAUCACACCGGAAUAAACUAUUCCUGGCUAACCCCAUAGAUCCUCUAUCGACAAGCAAACAAUUAUUAAAAA